This is a long non-coding RNA of Candoia aspera, 627 nucleotides long. RefSeq lists it as uncharacterized. NCBI's taxonomy places the organism in Eukaryota, Metazoa, Chordata, Lepidosauria, Squamata, Candoiidae. The transcript is spliced from 3 exons. The record is from RefSeq and is a predicted model, not a curated record.
UUUUCUUUUUUAUGAAUAUAUGUGAUGACAGCACCAAUAAUUAAUGUGCAAUUUGUUCAAAAGGUCCUUUUCAUAUAAACACCUGGAAUUAAUAAGUGAAACCAUAUUUCCACAGCUUCAUAAUUCGAUUAACUAUUUGUACACAUCUUUGAGAGCCAACAACAACAUUAUCCAUUCCUCAGGUUGGGAUGAAAGGAAACAUUCUUAAUUCCAAACCAUUACACACAAUAUUUAAAGGCCAUGUUAUAGCUAUAGCAAGAGAAGAAAGGGGACCAUCUGACCCCUGAGAGCUGUUAAUAUCAGGAGCAAGAAAGACUUCUGGUGUUUGUUAAAGAAUAAUGCCACCAUUGCAGGGUGAUCAAGGUAUCUUUGAAGGGCAGUGGAAGAGUGGCUUGUUCACCCAAGUUAGAAUGAAGGAAGCUAUAACCCACAUUGGGAACAGAAUAUAAAGCAGUUCUAACAAGCAUAAUUUUUUGCAAGCAAUUAAUCAAAAUGUAUUUAGCAAGUCAUUUCCAAUGAUAAUCAACAGACCUGCUUAAAACAAUAACCAUUUGGCAAUGACAACACUGUUCAUUCUGAUGUAAGUGGGCUUUGAUGCUUGAAAUAAAACACAGUGCUUCCAAGUGA